RNAcentral lists this ribosomal RNA (464 nucleotides) under Vreelandella stevensii. Its description in RNAcentral is "partial 16S ribosomal RNA". It matches the Rfam family "Bacterial small subunit ribosomal RNA", at positions 338 to 795 of the family's 1533-position model. The record is from RNAcentral. Lineage: Bacteria; Pseudomonadati; Pseudomonadota; Gammaproteobacteria; Oceanospirillales; Halomonadaceae.
CCUACGGGGGGCAGCAGUGGGGAAUAUUGGACAAUGGGCGAAAGCCUGAUCCAGCCAUGCCGCGUGUGUGAAGAAGGCCUUCGGGUUGUAAAGCACUUUCAGUGGGGAAGAAAGCCUUGGGGCUAAUACCCUCGAGGAAGGACAUCACCCACAGAAGAAGCACCGGCUAACUCCGUGCCAGCAGCCGCGGGAUACGGCGGGUGCGAGCGUUAAUCGGAAUUACUGGGCGUAAAGCGCGCGUAGGCGGUCUGAUAAGCCGGUUGUGAAAGCCCCGGGCUCAACCUGGGAACGGCAUCCGGAACUGUCAGGCUAGAGUGCAGGAGAGGAAGGUAGAAUUCCCGGUGUAGCGGUGAAAUGCGUAGAGAUCGGGAGGAAUACCAGUGGCGAAGGCGGCCUUCUGGACUGACACUGACGCUGAGGUGCGAAAGCGUGGGUAGCAAACAGGAUUAGAUACCCCAGUAGUC